Molecule: long non-coding RNA, 678 nt
Organism: Gavialis gangeticus (Gharial)
Lineage: Eukaryota; Metazoa; Chordata; Crocodylia; Gavialidae
Exons: 2
Source: RefSeq, a predicted model, not a curated record
UUGGGUUAGAAUUAUUUCAACAGGAAAGCAUGGGGGACAGAGCUGGGCAAAACUGUUUUUAUGCCAUCUCCCUAGGGCAACUGAGGAUUACUUUGGCUUCUGGCAUAAAUUAAAACAACUCAGGGACCAUUUGACAUCUGGGUAUAGCUGGGGUGCAGUUCUGCUCUGGUGACUCUACUUUCUCUUUGUCAUGCAUAGCAUAUACCUUGUUGGGGCAGCUAAAAGGAUACUGACCCAGCAAAGCUAGCUUUAUACCAUAAUACUUUUGUUGAAGAAGGAAAGAAGACAGAGAAGAGACGGUGCUAUUCAGGUAGGGUCCACGAUGGAUACAGGUAAUGAAGAAAGGAGUAUACUGCAUUCCACAUCACCACUGACAGCCACAUAUUAAUUUUGCACGGUGUUUUUAACUUGCCGAAAAUAUAUUGCAGAACUACAGGAAUGAUUAUUUGAUAAACAAGUUAUUUUUUAGACCACCAAAUUUAGGUGGUAAGGGUACUGAGGAGAGGACCUUAUUUUCAUACAUAUUUGAUAUAAAAUAUAUACCACCUGCUGGAAUUAGUGAGGAAUUAGGAUAAAGUUAAAUCAGUCCAAAUCCAUGGAGUGGGUGGUAAAGUAAUUUUCACUACUUUAUAUAUACACUUUUUUGAUCUUAGAAAAUCUUUCCCUUCAAUGGAAGCA